Molecule: ribosomal RNA, 253 nt
Filed under: uncultured bacterium
Lineage: Bacteria
Description: partial 16S ribosomal RNA
Rfam family: Archaeal small subunit ribosomal RNA
Source: RNAcentral
UACCAGCACCCCGAGUGGUCGGGACGUUUAUUGGGCCUAAAGCAUCCGUAGCCGGUUCUACAAGUCUUCCGUUAAAUCCAUCUGCUUAACAGAUGGGCUGCGGAAGAUACUAUAGAGCUAGGAGGCGGGAGAGGCAAGCGGUACUCGAUGGGUAGGGGUAAAAUCCGUUGAUCCAUUGAAGACCACCAGUGGCGAAGGCGGCUUGCCAGAACGCGCUCGACGGUGAGGGAUGAAAGCUGGGGGAGCAAACAGG